CUGGUACAGGCCUGGGGGA
This 19-nucleotide non-coding RNA is filed under the name Mus musculus (house mouse). RNAcentral also lists the same sequence under 1 other name. The record is from RNAcentral. Lineage: Eukaryota; Metazoa; Chordata; Mammalia; Rodentia; Muridae.